CGGGUGAGUAACACGUGACUAACCUACCCUCGAGUGGGGAAUAACUCCGGGAAACCGGGGCUAAUACCGCAUAACAUCGCAAGAUCAAAGCAGCAAUGCGCUUGAGGAGGGGGUCGCGGCUGAUUANCUAGUUGGCGGGGUAACGGCCCACCAAGGCGAAGAUCGGUAUCCGGCCUGAGAGGGCGCACGGACACACUGGAACUGAAACACGGUCCAGACUCCUACGGGAGGCAGCAGUGGGGAAUUUUGCGCAAUGGGGGAAACCCUGACGCAGCAACGCCGCGUGGAGGAUGAAGCCCUUUGGGGCGUAAACUCCUUUCGNCCCAAAACAUAAUUAC
Molecule: ribosomal RNA, 338 nt
Filed under: uncultured bacterium
Lineage: Bacteria
Description: bacterial SSU rRNA
Rfam family: Bacterial small subunit ribosomal RNA
Source: RNAcentral